This 492-nucleotide ribosomal RNA is filed under the name uncultured bacterium. RNAcentral's name for it is "partial 16S ribosomal RNA". It matches the Rfam family "Bacterial small subunit ribosomal RNA", at positions 29 to 507 of the family's 1533-position model. The record is from RNAcentral.
AGUGAACGCUGGCGGUAGGCCUAACACAUGCAAGUCGAACGGCAGCACAGUAAGCGCUUGCUCUUACGGGUGGCGAGUGGCGGACGAGUGAGGCAUACAUCGGAAUCUACUUUUUCUUGGGGGAUAACGUAGGGCAACUUCCACUAAUACCUAAUACGUCCUACGGGUUGGAGCAGGGGAUCUACAGACCUUUGCCGAUUCAAUGAGCCGAUGUCGGAUUAGCUAGUUGGCGGGGUAAAGGCCUACCAAGGCGACGAUCCGUAGCUGGUCUGAGAGGAUGAUCAGCCACACUGGAACUGAGACACGGUCCAGACUCCUACGGGAGGCAGCAGUAGGGAAUAUUGGACAAUGGGCGAAAGCCUGACGCAGCCAUACCGCGUGGGUGAAGAAGGUCUUCGGGUUGUAAAGCUCUGUUGUUGGGAAAGAAAAGCAGCAUGUGAAUCCCUGGAUGUUUUGACGGUACCCAAACAGUAAGCCACGGCUAACUUCGUG